UACAGUUUUCCUACCGACAGCAACGUUGCUGCUUGUUUCCGCUGUGAUACCGUUGAACAACUCGACGGAACUCCGCUACCAUGCCAGUGCAACAAGCUGUUCACAUUGUUUUGGGUUUUUGGCUGCUCUACUUCCAUCAUCUCAGGUAUGGGAACAUCACGGAACAUGAAACUGCGGGUGGUCUUAUAAUUAAAUGCAGUUAGUCCAUGUGAAGAUAUCCAUCUCAUCAGCUUCAUACUUAUUUCUGUCCCCCCAAGAUCAAACAAAAUGAUGCAACAACUUUGCAACAGGGGCUCCCCCAAAACACCAACUGAACAAACACAUCGAGUCAUGAGGGGCCUUUGAAAAGCUCAGCAGGCUACCAGAGCCCCUUGCUCAGCUUACUCCUAUUGUGUGCAUGUGUGUGUGUUUGUGUGCAAGUGUGUGUGUGUGUGUGUGUGUCCAUCUGUGUGUGUAUGUGCAUGUGUGUGUGUCUCUGGUUGUGUGUUUGCAUGUAACCGAAAGAGAGAUCAGGGAAGAGACAGAAAGGAGAGAGGAAGUGGUGGGGAAGGGUGGAAAAAGGGGGGAAAGGCAGAAACCGAGAGGGUUCUGCUCUUUAUUCACAUGGGUAAUCGGGCUGGUGGCCCUAACGAGGCUGUCAUAUUGCCCCUGUAAUGAGCAGAGAAAAGAUGAAUGUAAAAGUGCUCCCAUUACUGUGCUUUCAUCUUCCUGUUCAUUAGCUUAGCAUGAGGUUACAAUACUCCAUUACUCCUCUCCCUAACAACACCAUCUCUGUCCCUGAGAAGGGAGGAAUUUCACUUAGAUGCUGUAACAUUGCACACCCUAAACACAACACAGCCCUAGUUGAAUACACACACACAUACAUACACACACACACACACUCACGGAGAGGGCGAGAGGGAAAGAGGAAGAAUAAAAGAGAGAAGAUUGUGCCUAUUAGUGAAACAAAUUAGAACAUUUCACCAAAAUGAACACCGUCAACACAAUAACAACACACAGCUACAGCCUUGUGUGUGUGUGUGUGUGUGUGUGUGUGUGUGUGUGUGUGUGUGUGCUGUUUUUUCUCAGGGUGCAGACAGUGUGCCUCACACUGGCACUCUGCCUCAGUUUCCACGGCAACUUUAUAAUUGUUUUGGAAGCGGUCCAGACGCGACUGGAUACCAAGGAAUUAUUGAUGUCAAAAAGAAACAUGUAUGAAAUGAGAAGCUAUGUAUCCAGAC
Long non-coding RNA from Clupea harengus (Atlantic herring), 1220 nucleotides. The record is from Ensembl. Lineage: Eukaryota; Metazoa; Chordata; Actinopteri; Clupeiformes; Clupeidae.